Molecule: ribosomal RNA, 258 nt
Filed under: Pseudomonas aeruginosa
Lineage: Bacteria; Pseudomonadati; Pseudomonadota; Gammaproteobacteria; Pseudomonadales; Pseudomonadaceae
Also listed under: 1 other name
Description: partial 16S ribosomal RNA
Rfam family: Bacterial small subunit ribosomal RNA
Source: RNAcentral
AUAAAACCGAUCGUAGUCCGGAUCGCAGUCUGCAACUCGACUGCGUGAAGUCGGAAUCGCUAGUAAUCGUGAAUCAGAAUGUCACGGUGAAUACGUUCCCGGGCCUUGUACACACCGCCCGUCACACCAUGGGAGUGGGUUGCUCCAGAAGUAGCUAGUCUAACCGCAAGGGGGACGGUUACCACGGAGUGAUUCAUGACUGGGGUGAAGUCGUAACAAGGUAGCCGUAGGGGAACCUGCGGCUGGAUCACCUCCUUA